CACGUAGGCGGCCGUGUAAGUCAGAUGUGAAAGCCCCGGGCUUAACCUGGGAACUGCAUUUGAUACUGUACGGCUUGAGUCUGAUAGGGGGGGGUGGAAUUCCCGGUGUAACGGUGGAAUGUGUAGAUAUCGGGAAGAACACCAAUGGCGAAGGCAGGUCUCUGGGCCGUCACUGACGCUGAGGAGCGAAAGCGUGGGGAGCGAACA
This 207-nucleotide ribosomal RNA is filed under the name uncultured bacterium. RNAcentral describes it as "partial 16S ribosomal RNA". It matches the Rfam family "Bacterial small subunit ribosomal RNA", at positions 568 to 774 of the family's 1533-position model. The record is from RNAcentral.